AAUUAGCGCAGAUCCACUAACUGAAUGCCCUCGGCUGGACCGACAAUUGGGAGGCGGUGCUAAACGCCCAUUUAUCGGACACCCCCCCUUCCUUUUUUUUAAAAGCAUCAUAUGACAAUGGGAAUGGGAGAUGCCUCCCUUUUAGAAAUUCCGAGUGUAUGAUAAUUAAUUUCAAUUAGCGUCUAACAAGUCGACCAGCAAGUGUGUGCGGUGUUAUUCAAUAGAUAUAGACUUAAAUCGAGCAAAUCGAGAACAAACACAGUAUGCAAACUGGUAGAGCAUCAAAACAGAGAUUAAUGCAAAAAUAACUAUAACUAUAUAGUCGGGAGAGGGAGAAAAUGUGUGCCAGGGUGUCAGUUCUGGGUGCAAUAACAGCUUAUAGCUUAUAGACUUGUUGCCAUAACGAUUCAAAAGUGAAAUAAAAGUAGAAAUAAUGGAUCGAACAAGUAUCUUUUAAAAUAAAAUUAUAGAAUAUUUAAAUCAUAUACUAUUGGUACGAUCUCAGGUGUAGAUGUCACAAGGUUGGAUGGAUAAUUACAGACAUGAGUGCACAGAACGGAGCGGGACUGUACUUCAUUUCCAUUUGUUUCCACAUGAGAUGCAAGAAAAAGUCAAUCCAUUAGAUACAUCAGAACUCGCUUAUACAGUACGUAUAACAGAUUAUAACAGAAUAUAACCGAGUUGGAGUUAUAACAGAAUUUAAAUAAGAUUUUGUAAUUGUUUUUCCUUAAAAUGCAAAUAAACAACAGAAAUGGGUCACAUUUUUUGGGUUUACUCUCCAAGGGGAGACCUCUUCCGUCAAUCCCCUCUAGACAUCCAAUUGUGGCUGUUAUUGAAAGCGCGAUUUUAUUCAAUUUUUAUUAGCCAGCUAGCGCAACUGGUGGAAAAGUGACUAAUUUAUGCUUAUUGAGCUUCGAGUCGAUCG
This is a long non-coding RNA of Drosophila ananassae, 925 nucleotides long. RefSeq lists it as uncharacterized. The transcript has 3 exons. The record is from RefSeq and is a predicted model, not a curated record. Lineage: Eukaryota; Metazoa; Arthropoda; Insecta; Diptera; Drosophilidae.